This 467-nucleotide ribosomal RNA is filed under the name uncultured bacterium. RNAcentral's name for it is "partial 16S ribosomal RNA". It matches the Rfam family "Bacterial small subunit ribosomal RNA", at positions 29 to 507 of the family's 1533-position model. The record is from RNAcentral.
ACGCACGCCGGCGGCGUGCUUAACACAUGCAAGUCGAACGGAAAGGCCCUGCUUUUGUGGGGUGCUCGAGUGGCGAACGGGUGAGUAACACGUGAGUAACCUGCCCUUGACUUUGGGAUAACUUCAGGAAACUGGGGCUAAUACCGGAUAGGAGCUCCUGCUGCAUGGUGGGGGUUGGAAAGUUUCGGCGGUUGGGGAUGGACUCGCGGCUUAUCAGCUUGUUGGUGGGGUAGUGGCUUACCAAGGCUUUGACGGGUAGCCGGCCUGAGAGGGUGACCGGCCACAUUGGGACUGAGAUACGGCCCAGACUCCUACGGGAGGCAGCAGUGGGGAAUAUUGCACAAUGGGCGGAAGCCUGAUGCAGCAACGCCGCGUGCGGGAUGACGGCCUUCGGGUUGUAAACCGCUUUCGCCUGUGACGAAGCGUGAGUGACGGUAAUGGGUAAAGAAGCACCGGCUAACUACGUG